RNAcentral lists this long non-coding RNA (3128 nucleotides) under Equus asinus (donkey). RNAcentral's name for it is "lncRNA (ENSEASG00005030274.1)". Lineage: Eukaryota; Metazoa; Chordata; Mammalia; Perissodactyla; Equidae. The record is from RNAcentral.
CACAGACAGACCUGCCAUUAGGAGCGUUUCAGACCAAAACUCAGCUGCUCUGAACAGCAGUAAUUAGAUCAGCAGACCGUGAGGUCUGCUUUCUGUUCUUUUCACACCUGUCUGCCAAUAGCAGGGUUACUGGGUAAAGGAAGAUCUUAGCUGUGCCCAGACUGACUUUGAUCCCAAGAGCACUCCCUGAUAAACCCUCUGCACUGCCCGCUGAUCUCGCCUCAGUCUGGCCUAUGGGCAUAGAGCAGGCACCCCACAGAUGUUUGAUUAGCCCUGAGCUAACUACUGUGAAUCCUCCUCUUUUUGCUGAGGAAGACUGGCCCUGAGCUAACAUCCAUGCCCAUUUUCCUCUAAUUUAUAUGUGGGAUGCCUACCACAGCAUGGUUUUUGCCAAGGGGUGCCAUGUCUGCACCCAGGAUCUAAACCAGUGAACCCUGGGCCGCCAAGAAACGGGACGUGAGAACUUAACCGCUGUGCCACUGGGCCAGCCCCUGUAACAUAAGUUUUUAAUACACAGCUGAGCUCAAAAGAAAAAAAGGGAAACUCCCAAGUUCCAGAAAAGAAGACGGAACUCAAAGCCAGAAUGUCAAAAGGAAGAACCCCUAAAAGACUUCAUAUUCCAGGUGGUGCAACUAUUGGGUGAUGGAGCCUCUGUUUUCCUGGGCUCCUGAGUGACCGUGUGGAGUGGACCCCACCAACAUCCUUGAUGUUGACAUAGGAAUGAAGAAGCAGAGUGAAUCUCAAACAUAAUAAAUAAAAAGUUAAUCCAUACCUCGAUAAUGGAAUGCCUUAAAAUAAAAUCCUUUAACAGAAGAAAAGCGGCUAAGGAGACAAGAUACAUUACCUGCAAAAGAAAGACAAUUAGACUGACAUCAGAAAAAUACAUUCCAAGGACUGGGAGAAAAUAGGUGCUACCUAGAAUUCAGUGCCCAUCUAAAUCAUCAUUUGAGGAUGAGAGCAAAAUAAAGAUAUUUUACAAAAAGACUGAAUUUACCAUCUGCAAACUCUGACAGAAGAACGACUAAAGGAUGUGUUUCUGAAAGAGGGAAAUUGAACCAAGAAGGAAGGAGUGGGAUAUGAAAGCAAUGAUGAGAAAAACGAAGGUGAACAUAUGAGUAGAACUAAAUAUUCAGCUACAACAAUAACAAGGACCAUGACUAGUGGGAGUGUUAAAACUACUCUCUAAGUGGGGAAACUACUUAGUUACAGCAAUGUGAAGGAAAGGAGUAGAGAUCAGAGUUACUGCCUUCUGAGGCUCUUACACUGUUUGGUGACUGCAUGUAAAUGUUGAUUAAACAUAGGCUUCACUAAAUAGAGUGUGCGUUUUAAAGAUUUAAAGAUUAUCUCUAAAAGAGUAGAAUUUGAAUGUAGAACUGCCGAACGGGUAGAGGGGAGGGGAAGAAAGAAAAAGCUUGAUUAAACCAAUGGAAGACGAUGAGAAAAAGAGAAAUAAAGAACAUGGUCAGCAGAGAAACACCAAAUGAGAUGAUAGAAACAAAUCAAAAUAUAUUAUCAAUUGCAAUUACUGUAAACACAUUAUUUUGCCAGUUAAAAGAGAAAGAUUCUCAAAUUGCAUUUAAACAGACACACACCCCAAUCAUAUAUACUAUUUAUAAGAGACCCAACUAAAACAUGACAUGAACAGUUGAAACUAAAGGAACAGAGAAGACAUGCCCAGAGAUGCCAUUUUGGGUAUGGGCCUUAGAGGGCAAUUCUCACACAUUGCAGGAGGAGGGAUGUUCGAGGAUGUUUAUCAGAGUGUUGUUUGUAGUAAUGAAAGACUGGAAACAGCAUAAACAUCCAUUGGUAUAGGGAUGAAAAAAUAAAUUUUAGCAUAUAUAUAUAAUAAAACACUGUAUAACAGAAAAAUGACUGAACUAGAUCAAAUGGGCCAAGAUGGACACAUAUUAAAAGCAUAAUGUUAGAGGGAAAAACGAGCUGCAGAAGGAGAUCACCAUACAAUAUCACGGAUUAGUUUUCUUAAAGGGAACUUUAUUGAAGAAUAAUGUACACACAUAAAAAUGUACAAAGCAUAGUGAAUAGUUCAACGAAGUUUCACAAAGUGACACCCUUGUAACCAUCAGCCAGAUUAAGAAAUAGAACAUUACCAAGCAUCCCAGAAGACCCCACUGGCUCUCGUCCAGGUGUUACACCCUCCCAAGGGAACUACUAUCAUAACCUCUAACCCUACAGAUUGGUUUUGCCUAUUUCUGAAAUUUAUAUACAUGAGAUCAUACAUGCAGAAAGUGUGCACUCAUUUGUGUCUGGCCUCUUUAAUUCCAUAGUAUGUUUGUGAGAUGCAUCCUUAUUGAAGCGUGUAGCUCUAGUUUAUUCAUUCUCUUUGCUGUGCUGGGAUUCCAUCGUAUGAAUAUGCCAUGAUUAAUUUGUGCACGGUAUGGGAGAUGUUCAUUUGGGAUUUUUUUAGUUUGGGGCAAUUAUGAGCAGUUCUUCUCUGAUCAAUCUUGGACUUUUCUUUUGGUGUACAUGGGCAUCCAUCUCUCUCGGGUAUAUACUCAGCAAUUGCUGGGUCAGGGGUAUGCAUACUUGUAGCUUUAGUGGAGAAUCUUGAAUAGUUCCCCAAAUUGGUUUUACCACUUUACUUCCCUCGCAGUGUAGGAGAGUUCCAGUUACUCUGCAUCUUAUUCACACUUGAUAUUUUAGUCUUUUUAACUUUAGUUAUUCUGGUUGUUGAUGGUGUGAACUUUAAAACACACUCAUACACAAAUACUGUACACUGCCUAUGGGUAUAUAUAUAUACACAGUAAAAAUAUAAAGACAUGAAGGAGGAGAAUAUAGACCAACCUUAGGAUAGUGAUUGCCUCAAGGCAAAGGGGAACACCUGAUGGUAGAGGGAUAAAAUGGAAGGCUUCAACUGUAUUUAUAAUGUUAAUUUUUAAACAUGGGAAAGAAACAUGGUGAAACAUUUUCAGAACGAGGUGGGAAAUGUAUAUGUUAUUUUUCUCCAUAUUACUUGUGUUUAACAAAUACUGUAAUUAAAUUUUUUUUAUUUACGAAAAAUAUUCUUAAAGGAAAAAAUAGUCAUUCCACAGGGAAGCAAACAAAUGCACAGUGUAUCUUGUUAUAAACACAGCACUUGAGCCAUGCCUAAUAGACCAGACAUUCCACUU